RNAcentral lists this ribosomal RNA (251 nucleotides) under uncultured bacterium. RNAcentral's name for it is "partial 16S ribosomal RNA". It matches the Rfam family "Bacterial small subunit ribosomal RNA", at positions 524 to 776 of the family's 1533-position model. The record is from RNAcentral.
GACGGGGGGGGCAAGUGUUCUUCGGAAUUACUGGGCGUAAAGGGCACGUAGGCGGUGACUCGGGUUGAAAGUGAAAGUCGCCAAAAAGUGGCGGAAUGCUCUCGAAACCAAUUCACUUGAGUGGGACAGAGGAGAGUGGAAUUUCGUGUGUAGGGGUGAAAUCCGUAGAUCUACGAAGGAACGCCAAAAGCGAAGGCAGCUCGCUGGGUCCCUACCGACGCUGGGGUGCGAAAGCAUGGGGAGCGAACAGG